RNAcentral lists this long non-coding RNA (3727 nucleotides) under Homo sapiens (human). RNAcentral describes it as "RNF32 antisense RNA 1 (RNF32-AS1)". Lineage: Eukaryota; Metazoa; Chordata; Mammalia; Primates; Hominidae. The record is from RNAcentral.
AUAAGAGGUGACAAAAAAUCACUUCUGAUUUAAGAGACAACCUACUAUGACAUAUUAGAAAUUACUAAGAGUAGCCCAGAGAACACAACUGACUGUCAACGACUGAAGAUAAAAAACUGGAAAGAAUGUAAAGGAAGGAUGACGCAAUCGUGCAUGGCGGUCCUUUACCAAAUUGAGAAUGAACACCCGAGACGAAUGAUCUCUGAAGAUCAGAGACACUGCUCUCAGGAACAGAACACACAGUAACUCAUCUCCAUAUUCUAGGAAAGGAGUUAAUAGUGAUAAUAAAUACAGAAUUUCCAGCACCUACUGUGUGCUGGGCCAUUAUAAAUGCUACAGCUCUUCUCAGGCCAACACUGCCAGGAAGAAGUGAUGGCUUUCAUAUGACAGCCUCGGAGCUGCUGCUGUUUGCCUGAAGCCACAGGCUGAUGGGGUAGGACUGUCCUUUUCAUAUGGGGACAAGGAAUGGGAAAUUGUUAAAUAAGUCCCCCAAAAGUAAAACUAAAGCAUAAAUAGUGGUUAAGAGGAAGGGUAGACAUGGAAGUUAGCUCUAAAGCUCAUUGUGAUGACCCCACGAGGUACUCAAUACAAUGGUAGCAUGUGGGGGCUUUAUUUUUAUAGGCAGCUUCUAUUUUCAUUACUAUGAGAUGUGCAGCAGAUGUCUUCAUUUACAUAUAGCCCAGGAGAUGGGAAAAAUUAAGCUGGUUUCCAGUCUUGUGUCUGAAGAGAUAAGUUUAUUUAAACAAUUAGCACAAAAUGGCCAAACAGAAGUUGCUUUGAUUUAACCUAAUUUUAUGAUUUAACUAGAAAAGAAAGUCUAGAAGUAUUUGAACAUCUAGGUUGGAAAGCCAACUAAAGUUAAACAGGAUUUUUAGCAGCAUCUCACCCAUUUUUAAAAAGCCCUCAAAGUGAAGUAAGUCUCAAAGUUUUACCACCUCUGUUAGCCUUCCUGACCCCAAGUGAACCACCCGCACGGAGACCAUAUCUGGAGAACAUAAUGAUCUUUACCUACCUUUUUUUCAAAGAAUUUUUUUCUUAACUUGGCAUCUGUGGGAGGUACUGUUUUCCUCAGGUUUCUGUACCACUUUCUAACAACACAUCCUCUCCAGUAGGCUUGGAUUCUAAAACACAGAUAUUUGAAAAUGACUAAUUUAUGAUGACUCUAUGUCAACCAAUACUUCAGUAGUUGUUAUAAGCCCUGUGCUGUACAAGGCCCUGGGGAAAUUAUGGUGGCCAAGAAGAGAGAUAAAAUCCCACUAUUCAAAAAACAAGUUAGUUGUCAUAGCCUGAUCUGUGUCUGCUUAGCGCCAAACGGGCCUGGCGUCCUCACCUGGUCACACACUUGAUUCUGAACAGGCGGGCCCCAUCGUGUAUCACUCGGGUUUGAUACUGGUUCUUUCUACAGAGAGGACAGGUUUUCUUAUUUGUGAACUUUUCAAAAGCCUGAAGACAUGCCUGAAGAAAAACAUUUCACUUAAAAUUUUACAAGUAAUUACUUAUAAACAACGUUUUUACUUCCAAUGUUAGUGUUCUAAUUAUAGUGUUCUUUUCUCCCAUAACUAUGAGACUUAGCCCAAUUUAGGUUAUAAAGUGAGGAGGCUUCAUCAGGUGCUACCACCUUCCUCACAAAACCUGUUCCAAAAAUGAUUUCUUACAAGAAUAUACAUGCAGAGACAUCAAAAACUUCUGAAAUCCACUAGCACAAAGAUGGUGGUGAUGAAUAAAAUAAAUGGCUCUCCUUAGGAGCCUUGAAAAUGACUAUGGUUUCUCUGCACUGUGAGAGCGACAUGUGCAGCACCUGGGCAGGCGUGAGGGGUGGACUUACUUUGUGGAACACAUGGGAGCAUGAAAGCAGCACCUGUUCAUGAGGAAACAGAACGACGUUGAAGUUUACAAAAGAGAAGCAGCAUGUAUCCAACAGUUAAAAUCCUGAAUGCUUAGAAGGGAAAGUGUGCUCACAAGAAAACUUCACCUUUCUGUGACCCAAAUUCCCCACUAAACAGUGAUAUACUGGGCUGUGACAAAAGACUGAAGCUUAGACCAAAUGAAGAAGAAGGCAGUGGGUACUUAGUAGAAGGGACAGCCGCCAGCCCACCAGCGCCAGGCCCUGCGGGCUGCCACACAAAGGCCAGGCUCCUGCUUCCCUUGGGAGGGGCUGCUUUCAGCAACGGGGAGGAAAGCAGGGGAAACUUGUGAGACUGAGCAAAGCGGUGGGGUCAGGCGAAGGGUUUUCCCUUUUUGUCAAGAAUCUGACUUGGGUGACCACAGUCUGGGGCACUCCUGGGUGAGGUUUCAAUCUCAGCCGGCCCAGGAUGCCUGCUGUGGGGAAAACUUAACAGUUUUUAAAGUGAAUCCCACCUGCCUUCACUCAAUGUAUGCUUUUCUUCUUAAAUGGAAGAAAUACAGAAAUAACUAGAACUCAGAAAGUUGUAAAACCUUUUCUUGAAACUUAUUGCCAAGAGUAAGUCUGAAUUGAAUAAACUCAGUAAUAGGGUCCUUUUUCAUUACCACCAUUUAAUAGCAAUCUUUUCUAUACUUAAUUCAUUCUUUAUAGAAUACUUUUCAGUGUUUUAUCAACAUAUAUUCUAUCUAUAUGGAGCAACAUUAGACGUCAGUAUAUUAAAGUGUUAUCUUUUUAAGUGUCCCCAAAUAUUUGUUAUUGGCAAACAUUCUCUGAUGUAACAAAAAUCAAGGAUUAAGUAGUGGAAAACACACUAAAAAUGGCCUAGAAGUUAGGAUUGGAUUCCAGCAGGACUCUGAUACUUUCUGCGUCGGCCUACUAUGAGUCAUUUGAAUUGUUUUUAUUCCCUCAUCUGCUAAAUGGGCAGAAUGCCUACUAUACGGAAUUAAUUGAAGGCCCUCUGAAAUCACUAAAUGUUAUAAAAAUGCCAACUAUUGUUUAUAACUAAGGAAAAAUCUGAACAUGGAAAUGAUCACUGGAAAUGCAAAAUAUACAGGAUGGGUCUUAUAUCAAAACCAAGUAAAAAUAAUGGAAUUUAGUGAGAAAUUUAUAAAAAUCAGAAAGAAAUGUUGGGCAGGGUACACCCUGAUCCCCAUAAGAUAGUAACUUUCACUUUUCAUUCUUCAUACAGACACUCGGGUUGGAUAUUUUAGUAUAAGUAAGAAAGAGGGUGCUUAGCCAGAAAGACACCCUCUGGCUUUAUUCACAGUUUUGCUACAUUAAAUUACUAAAUUAUCCUAGACAAUUUGUGGUUUCAGGGCUAAAAUCUGUCCAAAAUACCCAACUUUCACAUAUGUAAGAUUAGGUCCUGAUAGAGAACUGGAAUAUAAUAAGUAUGUCUAAAGUAACUUAUGAAUUCAAAUUAGUGAAUAGAAGUGUAACUGUUGUGAGCUUUCUUGCUGAUGAAACCUACUCAAAUUCAAUGAAGACUCAGAGUUCAUUUGCCCAGAUUGUAAUAAGCCUGGGUUCCUAGGCUACAAACUCCAAGGCUGAUUUUAACUGUAUUUGCUGUGUUUUCUCAGCAAAUCUCUGAGGGCCUGCUAUGCAGGAAGCGUAAUGCCACACCACGUGGGAAAUUGUUACAGGGCAACCACGCACGCACGUGCACGCACACACACACUUCUGAUAAAUCUAAGUGUCCCCAACUUCAGGGGACAAUAGUUUAGUUAGGCAGACAAAAUAUGUAUAGAAAAAACCCUAUAUGCAUUCUCUCUCUCUCUCUCUAUAUAUAUAUAUGCAUUCUCUCUCUCUCUCUGUGUGUGUGUG